AGCGAACGCUGGCGGCAGGCCUAACACAUGCCAGUCGAACGAACUCUUCGGAGUUAGUGGCGGACGGGUGAGUAACACGUGGGAACGUGCCUUUAGGUUCGGAAUAACUCAGGGAAACUUGUGCUAAUACCGAAUGUGCCCUUCGGGGGAAAGAUUUAUCGCCUUUAGAGCGGCCCGCGUCUGAUUAGCUAGUUGGUGAGGUAAAGGCUCACCAAGGCGACGAUCAGUAGCUGGUCUGAGAGGAUGAUCAGCCACAUUGGGACUGAGACACGGCCCAAACUCCUACGGGAGGCAGCAGUGGGGAAUCUUGCGCAAUGGGCGAAAGCCUGACGCAGCCAUGCCGCGUGAAUGAUGAUGGUCUUAGGAUUGUAAAAUUCUUUCACCGGGGACGAUAAUGACGGUACCCGGAGAAGAAGCCCCGGCUAACUUCGUG
RNAcentral lists this ribosomal RNA (433 nucleotides) under uncultured bacterium. RNAcentral describes it as "partial 16S ribosomal RNA". It matches the Rfam family "Bacterial small subunit ribosomal RNA", at positions 29 to 507 of the family's 1533-position model. The record is from RNAcentral.